RNAcentral lists this transfer RNA (84 nucleotides) under Thalassobacter stenotrophicus. Its description in RNAcentral is "tRNA-Leu". It matches the Rfam family "tRNA". From Rfam's summary of the family: Transfer RNA (tRNA) molecules are approximately 80 nucleotides in length. The record is from RNAcentral. Lineage: Bacteria; Pseudomonadati; Pseudomonadota; Alphaproteobacteria; Rhodobacterales; Roseobacteraceae. RNAcentral also lists the same sequence under 3 other names.
GCCCCCUUGGCGGAAUGGUAGACGCUGAAGACUUAAAAUCUUUUGCCUUCGGGCGUGCCGGUUCGAGUCCGGCAGGGGGCACCA